Molecule: unclassified non-coding RNA, 209 nt
Filed under: fungal sp.
Lineage: Eukaryota; Fungi
Description: partial internal transcribed spacer region
Rfam family: Eukaryotic small subunit ribosomal RNA (bases 1-46)
Source: RNAcentral
AAGUCGUAACAAGGUUUCCGUAGGUGAACCUGCGGAAGGAUCAUUCUUGAUAUUUGUUGCAUAUGCUUCAACUUUAAAUGUGCACUGUUAUCGUCAAUUUGGGGGUCAUUUAGAUCGCCAUAUGGACUGAUUUAUUUUUAUACUUUUCGUUAAUUGUACCAGAAAAACAAAACUUUAAACAACUUUUAGCAAUGGAUCUCUUGGCUCUC